RNAcentral lists this ribosomal RNA (253 nucleotides) under uncultured bacterium. Its description in RNAcentral is "partial 16S ribosomal RNA". It matches the Rfam family "Bacterial small subunit ribosomal RNA", at positions 524 to 776 of the family's 1533-position model. The record is from RNAcentral.
UACGUAGGGUGCAAGCGUUGUCCGGAAUUAUUGGGCGUAAAGAGCUCGUAGGCGGUCUGUCGCGUCUGCUGUGAAAACUCGGGGCUUAACCCCGGGCCUGCAGUGGGUACGGGCAGACUAGAGUGCGGUAGGGGAGACUGGAAUUCCUGGUGUAGCGGUGAAAUGCGCAGAUAUCAGGAGGAACACCGGUGGCGAAGGCGAGUCUCUGGGCCGUAACUGACGCUGAGGAGCGAAAGCAUGGGGAGCGAACAGG